Danio rerio (zebrafish) is the source of this 74-nucleotide non-coding RNA. Lineage: Eukaryota; Metazoa; Chordata; Actinopteri; Cypriniformes; Danionidae. The record is from Rfam.
GUCUCUGUGGCGCAAUCAGUUAGCGUGUUUGGCUGUUAACUGAAAGGUUGGUGGUUAAAGCCUACCCAGGGACG